GUCUACAGCCAAGCCACCCUGAACAUGCCUGAUCUUGAAAGCUAAGCAGGGUUGGACCUGGUUAGUACUUGGAUGGGAGACCACCUAGGACUACCAGUUGCUGUAGGUA
This 109-nucleotide ribosomal RNA is filed under the name Pteropus alecto (black flying fox). The record is from RNAcentral. Lineage: Eukaryota; Metazoa; Chordata; Mammalia; Chiroptera; Pteropodidae.